Molecule: small RNA, 125 nt
Filed under: Marmota monax (woodchuck)
Lineage: Eukaryota; Metazoa; Chordata; Mammalia; Rodentia; Sciuridae
Source: RNAcentral
GCCAGGUGCAGUGGUGCAUACCUAUAAUCCCAGCAGCUCUGGAGGCUGAGGCAGGAGGAUUGUGAGUUCAAAGCUAGCCUUAGCAACAGUGAGGUGCUAAGCAACUCAGUGAGACCCUGUCUCUA